UACGUAGGGUGCAAGCGUUGUCCGGAAUUAUUGGGCGUAAAGAGCUCGUAGGCGGUUUGUCGCGUCUGCUGUGAAAUCCCGAGGCUCAACCUCGGGCCUGCAGUGGGUACGGGCAGACUAGAGUGUGGUAGGGGAGACUGGAAUUCCUGGUGUAGCGGUGAAAUGCGCAGAUAUCAGGAGGAACACCGAUGGCGAAGGCAGGUCUCUGGGCCACUACUGACGCUGAGAAGCGAAAGCAUGGGGAGCGAACAGG
Molecule: ribosomal RNA, 253 nt
Filed under: uncultured bacterium
Lineage: Bacteria
Description: partial 16S ribosomal RNA
Rfam family: Bacterial small subunit ribosomal RNA
Source: RNAcentral